This 244-nucleotide unclassified non-coding RNA is filed under the name uncultured Glomus. RNAcentral describes it as "sequence contains 18S rRNA gene". It matches the Rfam family "Eukaryotic small subunit ribosomal RNA", at positions 569 to 822 of the family's 1831-position model. Lineage: Eukaryota; Fungi; Glomeromycota; Glomeromycetes; Glomerales; Glomeraceae. The record is from RNAcentral.
AGCAGCCGCGGUAAUUCCAGCUCCAAUAGCGUAUAUUAAAGUUGUUGCAGUUAAAAGCUCGUAGUUGAAUUUCGGGGUCAGCAGGCUGGUCGUGCCAAUGGUAUGCACUGGCCUUGCUGAUUCCUCCCUCUUGAUGAGCCGUAAUGUCAUUAAUUUGGUGUUGUGGGGAAUCAGGACUGUUACUUUGAAAAAUUGAGUGUUAAAGCAGGCAAGCGCUUGAAUACAUUAGCAUGGAAUAAUGAAA